This 468-nucleotide ribosomal RNA is filed under the name uncultured bacterium. Its description in RNAcentral is "partial 16S ribosomal RNA". It matches the Rfam family "Bacterial small subunit ribosomal RNA", at positions 28 to 507 of the family's 1533-position model. The record is from RNAcentral.
GACGAACGCUGGCGGCGUGCUUAACACAUGCAAGUCGAACGGAAAGGCCCUGCUUUUGUGGGGUGCUCGGGUGGCGAACGGGUGAGUAACACGUGAGUAACCUGCCCUUGACUUUGGGAUAACUUCAGGAAACUGGGGCUAAUACCGGAUAGGAGCUCCUGCUGCAUGGUGGGGGUUGGAAAGUUUCGGCGGUUGGGGAUGGACUCGCGGCUUAUCAGCUUGUUGGUGGGGUAGUGGCUUACCAAGGCUUUGACGGGUAGCCGGCCUGAGAGGGUGACCGGCCACAUUGGGACUGAGAUACGGCCCAGACUCCUACUGGAGGCAGCAGUGGGGAAUAUUGCACAAUGGGCGGAAGCCUGAUGCAGCAACGCCGCGUGCGGGAUGACGGCCUUCGGGUUGUAAACCGCUUUCGCCUGUGACGAAGCGUGAGUGACGGUAAUGGGUAAAGAAGCACCGGCUAACUACGUG